GAUGAACGCUGGCGGCGUGCCUAAUACAUGCAAGUCGAGCGAACGGACGCGACGCUUGCUUCACUGAUGUUAGCGGCGGACGGGUGAGUAACACGUGGAUAACCUUCCUAUACGACUGGGAUAACUUCGGGAAACUGGAGCUAAUACCGGAUAAUAUUUUGAACCGCAUGGUUCAAAAGUGAAAGACGGUCUUGCUGUCACUUCUAGCUGGCUCCGCGCUGGAUUAGCGAGUUGGUACGGUAACGGCUUACCAAGGCAACGAUGCAUAGCCGACCUGAGAGGGGGAUCCGCCACACUGGGGCUGGAAGACGGUCCUGAGACCGACGGAAGGCAGAGAUAGGGAAGCGUGCGCAAAGGGCGGAAGCCUGAAGGAUGGGCGCCGCGUUGAUGAAGAAGGGCUGCGUAUCGGAAGACGCUGUUAGGAUGGAAGACCAUAUGUGUAAGUAACGAAGCACAUCGUGACGGUACCUAGUCAGGAAGCCACGGCUAACUACGUG
RNAcentral lists this ribosomal RNA (497 nucleotides) under uncultured bacterium. RNAcentral's name for it is "partial 16S ribosomal RNA". It matches the Rfam family "Bacterial small subunit ribosomal RNA", at positions 28 to 507 of the family's 1533-position model. The record is from RNAcentral.